CACGUAGGGGGCGAGCGUUGUCCGGAUUUAUUGGGCGUAAAGAGCUCGUAGGCGGCUCGGUAAGUGAGGUGUGAAAACUCCAGGCUCAACCUGGAGACGCCACCUCAUACUGCUGUGACUUGAGUUCGGUAGGGGAGUGGGGAAUUCCUAGUGUAGCGGUGGAAUGCGCAGAUAUUAGGAGGAACACCGGUGGCGAAGGCGCCACUCUGGGCCGAAACUGACGCUGAGGAGCGAAAGCGUGGGUAGCAAACAGG
RNAcentral lists this ribosomal RNA (254 nucleotides) under uncultured bacterium. Its description in RNAcentral is "partial 16S ribosomal RNA". It matches the Rfam family "Bacterial small subunit ribosomal RNA", at positions 524 to 776 of the family's 1533-position model. The record is from RNAcentral.